AGCGAACGCUGGCGGCAGGCUUACCACAUGCAAGUCGAGCGGAUGUAGCAAUACAUCAGCGGCAGACGGGUGAGUAACACGUGGGAACGUACCUUUUGGUUCGGAACAACACAGGGAAACUUGUGCUAAUACCGGAUAAGCCCUUCCGGGGAAAGAUUUAUCGCCGAAAGAUCGGCCCGCGUCUGAUUAGCUAGUUGGUGAGGUAAUGGCUCACCAAGGCGACGAUCAGUAGCUGGUCUGAGAGGAUGAUCAGCCACAUUGGGACUGAGACACGGCCCAAACUCCUACGGGAGGCAGCAGUGGGGAAUAUUGGACAAUGGGCGCAAGCCUGAUCCAGCCAUGCCGCGUGAGUGAUGAAGGCCCUAGGGUUGUAAAGCUCUUUUGUGCGGGAAGAUAAUGACGGU
Molecule: ribosomal RNA, 404 nt
Filed under: bacterium Ellin5297
Lineage: Bacteria; Pseudomonadati; Pseudomonadota; Alphaproteobacteria; Hyphomicrobiales; Nitrobacteraceae
Description: bacterial SSU rRNA
Rfam family: Bacterial small subunit ribosomal RNA
Source: RNAcentral